CCCUUACAGCUCAACAGGAACAUCUCCAGUAUCAUCUGCAUGGGAAAUGGGAAUGGCACAGAAUUCCGGGUGUUGCCCCACCUUUCCCAUACAUAAUUUUGCUGCAAACAUGAGCAGCCAAUGCCAGUAAAUAUCUCUCACGGUAGCGUGGCAUGGGACCCAACACUGGAAAUGGGAUUCAACCAUCUUCAGCACAAUAUACAUAUUGAAUCCUACAAAGCGUGGAUUAUGCAGUACAGCCCACCUCUAGUCUCAAGUAAAAGGAGAGACAGAUCAACAUUUUUCAGGACUUUACAGGACCCCUAAUUACUGCAAGAGUUCCUGAUACCAGAAGUACCAGGUCAGGGUUCCGGGUGGCAUUCAGCAUGAGUGUAGAGCAAAAUUCAAGCCUGUGCCCCA
RNAcentral lists this long non-coding RNA (399 nucleotides) under Numida meleagris (helmeted guineafowl). RNAcentral describes it as "lncRNA (ENSNMEG00000003463.1)". The record is from RNAcentral. Lineage: Eukaryota; Metazoa; Chordata; Aves; Galliformes; Numididae.